GACGAACGCUGGCGGCGUGCCUAAUACAUGCAAGUCGAACGCAGUGGGGACGGGUGAGUAACACGUGGGUAACCUCCCAUCAGAGGGGAUAACAAUUGGAAACAGGUGCUAAACCGAUACUGAUGGAUGGACCAGCGGGUCAUUAGCUAGUUGGUGAGGUAACGGCUCGCCAAGGCCACGAUGCAUAGCCGACCGUAGGGGGUGACCGGCCACACUGGGACCGGGACACUGCCCAGACGCCUACGGGAGGCAGCAGAUGGGAAUCUUCGGCAAGUGACGAAAGUCUGACCGAGCAACGCCGCGUGAUUGAAGAAGUUUUUCGGAUCGUAAAACUCUGUUGUUCAAGAAGCGGUAUCUAACCAGAAAGCCACGGCUAACUACGUGCCAGCAGCCGCGGUAAUAC
RNAcentral lists this ribosomal RNA (403 nucleotides) under uncultured bacterium. RNAcentral's name for it is "partial 16S ribosomal RNA". It matches the Rfam family "Bacterial small subunit ribosomal RNA", at positions 28 to 526 of the family's 1533-position model. The record is from RNAcentral.